RNAcentral lists this ribosomal RNA (209 nucleotides) under uncultured bacterium. RNAcentral describes it as "partial 16S ribosomal RNA". It matches the Rfam family "Bacterial small subunit ribosomal RNA", at positions 568 to 774 of the family's 1533-position model. The record is from RNAcentral.
UGCGUAGGUGGUUAUUUAAGUCCGUUGUGAAAGCCCUGGGCCUCAACCUGGGAACUGCGGUGGAUACUGGAUGACUAGAAUGUGGUCGAGGGUAGCGGAAUUCCUGGUGUAGCAGUGAAAUGCGUAGAGAUCAGGAGGAACAUCCAUGGCGAAGGCAGCUACCUGGACCAACAUUGACACUGAGGCACGAAAGCGGUGGGGAGCAAACA